CAUAAUGAUGAACGACAUUGAGUGAACAAUCUCUGAGGCCACGGCCGUAGGAUUAAAAACACAUGUUGCCUUCCUUCUGAAC
This is a small nucleolar RNA of 82 nucleotides. It matches the Rfam family "Small nucleolar RNA snR52". The record is from Rfam.